ACACGUGGGCAACCUGCCCUUGAGACUGGGAUAACUUCGGGAAACCGGAGCUAAUACCGGAUAAUAUAAGGAACCUCCUGGUUCCUUAUUGAAAGAUGGUUUCGGCUAUCACUUAAGGAUGGGCCCGCGGCGCAUUAGCUAGUUGGUGAGGUAACGGCUCACCAAGGCGACGAUGCGUAGCCNACCUGAGAGGGUGAUCGGCCACACUGGGACUGAGACACGNNCNANANUCCUACGGGAGGCAGCAGUAGGGAAUCUUCCACAAUGGACGAAAGUCUGAUGGAGCAACGCCGCGNNAGUGAUGAAGGCCUUCGGGUCGUAAAGCUCUGUUGUUAGGGAAGAACAAGUGCGAGAGUAACUGCUCGCACCUUGACGGUNCCUAACCAGAAAGCCACGGCUAACUACGNGCCAGCAGCCGCGGUAAUACGUAGGUGGCAAGCGUUAUCCGGAAUUAUUGGGCGUAAAAGCGCGCGCAGGUGGUUUCUUAAGUCUUGAUGUGAAAGCCCACGGCUCAACCGUGNAGGGNCAUUGNAAACUGGGGAACUUUGAGUGCAGAAGAGNNAAGUGGAAUUCCAAGUGUAGCGGUGAAAUGCGUAGAGAUUUGNAGGAACACCA
This 615-nucleotide ribosomal RNA is filed under the name bacterium RB55DO. RNAcentral describes it as "partial 16S ribosomal RNA". It matches the Rfam family "Bacterial small subunit ribosomal RNA", at positions 113 to 711 of the family's 1533-position model. The record is from RNAcentral.